RNAcentral lists this ribosomal RNA (406 nucleotides) under uncultured bacterium. RNAcentral's name for it is "bacterial SSU rRNA". It matches the Rfam family "Bacterial small subunit ribosomal RNA", at positions 355 to 776 of the family's 1533-position model. The record is from RNAcentral.
UGGGGAAUAUUGGGCAAUGGACGCAAGUCUGACCCAGCAACGCCGCGUGAAGGAAGAAGGCUUUCGGGUUGUAAACUUCUUUUGUCAGGGAAGAGUAGAAGACGGUACCUGACGAAUAAGCCACGGCUAACUACGUGCCAGCAGCCGCGGUAAUACGUAGGUGGCAAGCGUUGUCCGGAUUUACUGGGUGUAAAGGGCGUGCAGCCGGGCCUGUAAGUCAGAUGUGAAAUCCGUGGGCUUAACCCACGAACUGCAUUUGAAACUGCGGGUCUUGAGUACCGGAGAGGUCAUCGGAAUUCCUAGUGUAGCGGUGAAAUGCGUAGAUAUUAGGAAGAACACCAGUGGCGAAGGCGGAUGACUGGACGGCAACUGACGGUGAGGCGCGAAAGCGUGGGGAGCAAACAGG